CACCGAAGUCAAGCAUCAUUGGGCGCGGUCAGUACUUGGGUGGGUGACCACCUGGGAAUACCGCGUGCCGUU
Caerostris darwini is the source of this 72-nucleotide non-coding RNA. The record is from the annotation of a GenBank genome assembly. NCBI's taxonomy places the organism in Eukaryota, Metazoa, Arthropoda, Arachnida, Araneae, Araneidae.